Molecule: long non-coding RNA, 447 nt
Filed under: Nicotiana benthamiana
Lineage: Eukaryota; Viridiplantae; Streptophyta; Magnoliopsida; Solanales; Solanaceae
Description: long non-coding RNA (NBEN_LNC026791)
Source: RNAcentral
UUUGACAUAAAACAUUAGUGAAGUUUGGGGAGUAUACUUUGUACACAUACCUUAACCCUACCAUGGGGUAGCAGGCUGCUUUUGGAAGAAACUAGGCUCAACAUACGAAAUAAAAAUGAUUCCUAGUAAAAAUAAUGUUGUUUAUACUAUUCAAUUAACUAACUCAGAAUACAAAAAUAAGUUAAACGAAAUUUGUUUGCAGAAUUACAAAGCUGGCUUAUUCAAAUAACUUAGUAGUAAUUCAGAUUCAAAUAAAUUAGUAAUAAUUCAAUAACAUAGAAGAGCUAAGAGGAGAGUUAAAUACCUCUAUACAAGGAUGGUAAUGGUGGCAACAGAAAUGGCGACAGCUGCAACGGCGACUUGCUGUCGACUAAGGAGAGAGGAGACAAAACACAUUAGUUGUAAUUUGGGUUGAAUUCGUCUCUGGUCUGAGUUUGGAAUGGGCUG